CGCGAGUAUUUUUGCGGAAAGGUUCGCUUUGGAGCAGGAUAAUACCAGCAAGAUAGAGAGCGAAAGAGAGGAGAAGACUGAAAGCCUUUUCAAUAUCCUAUUAUCGUCACGCGCUCGUAUAUUGGAGAGCAGCGAGCACCGUUUUGUCUAAAACCUAGGUUUCCGUUUAACUCCGUUAUUUCGUGUUAUUGUAGUCAUAUGGUGUGAUGUCGGUCUUAUCCUUAUAUUAGCGUCUAGUUUAUGCAUUGUCAGUAAUAUACUACGGCGCCAGUUUACACCUAAAUUAGCCCAGUGUUUUGCACAUUAAUAAGUUUGUGCUAAUUGCUGGUAUAUAUAUACUCAAAGGUCACCCUCGAAGGGAUAGCAUGUCGGUUCCACGAUGUUGUCGAAUGAAUAAUAUUGCUGUAUUUGCCGGGAUAUUAGUUAGUUGUGGCAUAAUAAUCGUCUUGAUACCCGCACCAGCUAGUGCUACGCGCGUCUUCACCAAUUCCUUUCUGGUGGAGUUCCAUGAUGACGUCAGUAAAAGUGAAGCGGACAAGAUUGCUCGGGAACAUGGUUUUGAGAACGCGGGACCGCUGAUGAGAUCCAAACGGGAAUACCACUUCAUUCACCGCGGGCUGCCGGCAAGAUCCAAGCGCAGUAUUCCUCAUCAUCGAAACCUGAAAAGCAACGAAAAGAUAAAACUAGUGGCUCAACAACCUGGAUUUAAACGUUCUAAGCGCGGAUAUGGACCUCUUAUACAUAAAGGUCAGGUUGCACUCGACAAAUCCGCAGAGCCAACCGAUCCUUAUUUCCAGUUCCAAUGGUAUUUGAAAAAUGACGGCAGUCUCGGUGGUAAACCACGCUUGGAUCUCAAUGUGGAAGCUGCUUGGGCACAGGGUGCCACAGGGAAGAAUAUCACUACAGCAAUUAUGGAUGAUGGAAUCGAUUAUCUUCAUCCCGAUCUAAAAUUCAACUAUAAUGCAAAGGCCAGCUAUGACUUCAGCAGUAAUGAUCCAUUUCCGUAUCCCCGCUACACUGAUGACUGGUUCAACAGCCAUGGAACGCGCUGUGCCGGGGAAGUGGCGGCUGCGCGGGAUAAUGGAGUAUGCGGUGUGGGUGUGGCGUACGACAGUAAAGUUGCUGGCAUUAGGAUGCUCGAUCAGCCCUAUAUGACCGACUUGAUUGAGGCCAAUUCCAUGGGCCAUGAACCCAAUCUCAUCGACAUUUACAGCGCAAGCUGGGGUCCCACCGAUGACGGAAAGACGGUGGACGGGCCGCGUAAUGCCACAAUGCGCGCAAUUGUCAAAGGAGUCAACGAAGGAAGGAACGGGCUGGGUAACAUUUAUGUGUGGGCCUCUGGCGAUGGCGGCGAAGAUGAUGAUUGUAAUUGUGACGGAUAUGCUGCCAGCAUGUGGACCAUCUCUAUUAAUUCAGCUAUUAAUAAUGGGCAAAAUGCCCAUUACGACGAAUCCUGCACAUCCACCUUAGCGUCGACGUUCAGCAACGGCGGAGGUGACCCGAAGACCGGUGUCGCCACAACCGAUCUCUAUGGCCGCUGCACCAAGACCCAUUCCGGCACUUCCGCAGCGGCACCGGAAGCAGCUGGUGUUUUUGCUUUGGCUCUCGAAGUCAACCGAAAUUUAACCUGGCGGGACAUCCAACAUCUCACUGUGUUGACGUCAAAGCGGAACUCGCUGUAUGAUGGCAAAGGCUAUUUCAAGUGGCAGAUGAACGGUGUGGGUCUGGAAUUCAAUCAUUUAUUUGGUUAUGGAGUUCUGGAUGCCGGUGCAAUGGUAGCUAUGGCCAAGGACUGGAUUACCGUGCCCCAGCGUUACCAUUGUGAUGGCGGUAAAGUCAACAAAACCUUAUCGAUACCUACCAACGGAUCCCUGACGCUCUUCAUCGAUACCCACGCCUGUCGGGGCACGGAAAACCAAGUCGACUAUCUGGAGCAUGUGCAGGCUGUCAUUACGCUGAAUAGCUCCAGACGGGGUGAAGUGAUAAUGCAUCUGGUUUCACCAAUGGGCACACGGUCGAUGAUCCUCAGUCGCAGACCGAACGAUGACGAUCACACGGACGGAUUUGCCAAAUGGCCAUUUAUGACAACUCAUACGUGGGGUGAAAAUCCACGGGGGCGCUGGAAGCUGGAAAUCAAAUUCAACAGCCCAAACACACAGACUGGCUUCAUCAAGGAAUGGGAUCUAUUGUUGCACGGCACCCGUGAAGCGCCAUACAAAGAUCUAGCUGUGGCUGAUCCUCAUUCUAAAUUGGCUAUUGUUAAGAAAGCUCACGAGGAUCGCCGUUGAGUGGUUGCUGAGCAUCAGAUGUACACGCCGUACAUAGAUCGCCCAUCCGGGAAAGCACAUUCACAAUGUGACCUCGCUGCUAAUUUCCAACGGAUUACUUGCAUACUGUUUUAUCAUCAUUACAGCACUCCAUUCCAAAAGCACACGUCGACAUUAGCGCUAAAUUAAAUCCACCAGAUCAAAAAACCAUUCGGCUUGCCUAAUUCCAGAGUUUUAUAUCGGCUUUUUUGAGUUCAUUUCCGGUUCUCUGUUGACCUUUGCAUCUGCUAGAUUUUUUUUGUUACAAGAGUUUACUUAUUUUAUUAGUCUUUCUUUCGUGGCUGCAUGCAUAUAAGAUCAUGAAGGCAUCUGGUUUUGAUUUGGAACUGACUUUCCAUCUUAUCAACUGAGCUGUUAUGCAUUAUGGGUAGAUCGGCAACAUCGCCUGAACUGACUUCAAAUCGAGAUUAAUUGUACUAUGUAUUAUUUCUUGUAGGAUUUUCUGAUAUGGACUGAGCAUUUUACGUACAGCUUGGACGACCAGUGCUAUAGCUGCGUGUCGACGGUGACGGAGCACCAAAAUAUCUGUCCGGCACCUGGAAAUCGAACGGUGACGUCUUGACCCAGUCUUCAUGCGAAUCCAAAUAGGAUAGCCCUUUAAUGGGCUUCCGCGGCCGCCUAAGGGAAAGAAAAACAUUCACGACACACAGGGAUCCACUUACGGACGAUGCGAAGGAAACAGAUAGUCCUUUACUUCCUCAUACAAACUGGGCUGCACACUGAUCGGUCCGUAGGGCGAUCGGCGCGGAAGGCCCGGAUGAUCGUUCAAGCGUCCCUAAAAACGUCGAACAUUAUACGGAAAUGCAAAGGUCACGGUCACGGAACCAGAACAGAAUUAACAGCAACGUACUGGCUGCAACCUCUGGAUUAGUACGACUUAUGACCGUUAAAAUUUGUGUACCCGGUGCAGUACGUCAUAAUCGUAGUGCAGAUCGUUCAGCGCUUCAUUGUUCCAGCGCGAUCGGCGACUCAGUCGCGCGUUGGAAAAAUUAUCCUUAACGUAAUCAGACACAUAGGGUCUUCCGUUAGUUGCCGGAUAGUACAUGUCCAGCCUAUCCUGCCACGUAUCGGCUUUAGCAUCCCUGGAAUAAAAUCGAGUUGUAAUUCCCACUGCGAUAUACAAAGCAUGUCAGCCAAAAAAGGUUACCGCAUUUUUCU
Molecule: RNA transcript, 3485 nt
Organism: Paramacrobiotus metropolitanus
Lineage: Eukaryota; Metazoa; Tardigrada; Eutardigrada; Parachela; Macrobiotidae
Gene name: neuroendocrine convertase 2-like
Exons: 15
Source: RefSeq, a predicted model, not a curated record